UCACGUUGUAUCUUUUGAAGAUUAAGAAUAAGCCAAGUGCCAGUUGAAAUAUCGUAUCCAUGAACUGAGCAAUCUUCAAUGGCUUCAUGGAUUACAGCGAGUGGAGCAGCAGGAUAGAGGCGUAGUGUUUCUUUAAUGACAGAUUGGAGGUACACCAAGUUUUUAGUAUCUGAUUCUGUAACUAAGAGUCUAUCUUUACCAACAUGAAUGUCUAAUUCUUGUUUGACCUUGUUCAAUGCAUCGCGAUUAUUGAGUAAUAAAGAUAAAGCCCAUGUCAUUGUAAUUGAUGUGGUAUCUUCCGCAGCUAAGAUAAGUGCCUAUUAAAUCAUUUACCGUAAAACUAUUAAUAUCAGAUUGAAAUUGGUAUUCAGGCGAAUGAUGAAUAUAAAUAUCAAACAAAUAUAGGAUUUGAUUAAGAAAUGUACGUACGAGACUGACGGCUUUGUUGAUGGUAUCGGCAUCGUGCUCCUCUGCAUCACGAAGAAUAGAUAGCAUCACUCCCAUGAAAUCUUCCUCACUGUUUGCCUCAUUUUCAGCUCUCUUUUCUUUGUGCUCUCGUAGCCAUUCCUCCACAACUUGGUCCAAUUCUUUGGCUACCUUCUUCAUAAGCUUUUUGUCGCCACCAAAGUCCGACCAUCUCAGAUACGGUAAGGCAUCCGAUACCACGAACUUUCCAGUUAGUUCAAACAAGUCGUCCAACGACUUCUUCCAUUUCACGGUUUCAUCUCCUUCGUAUGAAUUCGGUAUUCGCUUCCCUACAACAAUCCUUAGUAUCACGUUAAGAGUAACAUCUCUGAACCAUCUCUUCAUCUCCACAAUUACUUUGCCACAGUUACUACUUUUCUUCUUGUUCCACAUCUGGUAUAAUUGUUGCAGUGAUGCCUUCACCUCGGAUUCCCGCACAGGUUUAAGCAAUUCGAGUCGGUGAUUUGAGAGGAGCUCAAUAGUGGCGAAUUUGCGCACUUGACGCCAAUAAGGUCCAUACGGUGCAAAGGCUAUCAUGGCAGAGUUGUAACCCAAAAUUUCCCAGCUUGCAAGCUUUGGACGAGUGGCAAACGCUUUAUCGUUUAUGGUGAGACAUUCUUUAGCUAUCUCCCAAUUGCUCACCACCAAAGCUCUAUGCACACCCAACCUGAUGGUGAAGAUUCCUCCAUAUUUGUCUGCCAGGUUACCCAAGCUUAUAUGAGGUGGUUGUGGCCCUCCUAAGAGGCGGAGAUGACCAAUAAUAGGCCAUGCUCCACCAGCUUCUGGUGCUGUUUUCUUCAAGUUUGUGUUUCUUCUUGAGAUCCAUAGGAAAGAGAAAAGAAAC
Molecule: long non-coding RNA, 1309 nt
Filed under: Gossypium raimondii (Peruvian cotton)
Lineage: Eukaryota; Viridiplantae; Streptophyta; Magnoliopsida; Malvales; Malvaceae
Description: long non-coding RNA (GRAI_LNC007910)
Source: RNAcentral